GAUCAUGGCUCAGGAUGAACGCUGGCGGCGUGCCUAAUACAUGCAAGUCGAGCGAACAGAUAAGGAGCUUGCUCCUUGACGUUAGCGGCGGACGGGUGAGUAACACGUGGGUAACCUACCUAUAAGACUGGGAUAACUUCGGGAAACCGGAGCUAAUACCGGAUAACAUUUGGAACCGCAUGGUUCUAAAGUGAAAGAUGGUUUUGCUAUCACUUAUAGAUGGACCCGCGCCGUAUUAGCUAGUUGGUAAGGUAACGGCUUACCAAGGCGACGAUACGUAGCCGACCUGAGAGGGUGAUCGGCCACACUGGAACUGAGACACGGUCCAGACUCCUACGGGAGGCAGCAGUAGGGAAUCUUCCGCAAUGGGCGAAAGCCUGACGGAGCAACGCCGCGUGAGUGAUGAAGGGUUUCGGCUCGUAAAACUCUGUUAUUAGGGAAGAACAAAUGUGUAAGUAACUGUGCACGUCUUGACGGUACCUAAUCAGAAAGCCACGGCUAACUACGUGCCAGCCGCGGC
Molecule: ribosomal RNA, 520 nt
Filed under: uncultured bacterium
Lineage: Bacteria
Description: bacterial SSU rRNA
Rfam family: Bacterial small subunit ribosomal RNA
Source: RNAcentral